GGCUGGUUAGCUCAGUCGGUUGAACGUGGUGCUGGUAACACCAAGGUCGUGGGUUCGAUUCCUGUUCGGUCC
RNAcentral lists this transfer RNA (72 nucleotides) under Apaloderma vittatum (bar-tailed trogon). It matches the Rfam family "tRNA". Rfam says of the family: Transfer RNA (tRNA) molecules are approximately 80 nucleotides in length. Their secondary structure includes four short double-helical elements and three loops (D, anti-codon, and T loops). The record is from Rfam by way of RNAcentral. Lineage: Eukaryota; Metazoa; Chordata; Aves; Trogoniformes; Trogonidae.